RNAcentral lists this ribosomal RNA (497 nucleotides) under uncultured bacterium. Its description in RNAcentral is "partial 16S ribosomal RNA". It matches the Rfam family "Bacterial small subunit ribosomal RNA", at positions 28 to 507 of the family's 1533-position model. The record is from RNAcentral.
GAUGAACGCUGGCGGCGUGCCUAAUACAUGCAAGUCGAGCGAACAGACGAGGAGCUUGCUCCUCUGACGUUAGCGGCGGACGGGUGAGUAACACGUGGAUAACCUACCUAUAAGACUGGGAUAACUUCGGGAAACCGGAGCUAAUACCGGAUAAUAUAUUGAACCGCAUGGUUCAAUAGUGAAAGACGGUUUUGCUGUCACUUAUAGAUGGAUCCGCGCCGCAUUAGCUAGUUGGUAAGGUAACGGCUUACCAAGGCAACGAUGCGUAGCCGACCUGAGAGGGUGAUCGGCCGCACUGGAAGUGAGACACGGUCCAGACUCCUACGGGAGGCAGCAGUAGGGAAUCUUCCGCAAUGGGCGAAAGCCUGACGGAGCAACGCCGCGUGAGUGAUGAAGGUCUUCGGAUCGUAAAACUCUGUUAUUAGGGAAGAACAAAUGUGUAAGUAACUAUGCACGUCUUGACGGUACCUAAUCAGAAAGCCACGGCUAACUACGUG